AUUGAACGCUGGCGGCAGGCCUAACACAUGCAAGUCGAGCGGAGCGGCGGACGGGUGAGUAAUGCCUAGGAAUCUGCCUGGUAGUGGUGGAUAAGAUCCGGAAACGGGCGCUAAUCUCGCAUACUUACAGAUGAGGCUAGGUCGGAUUAGCUAGUUGGUGGGGUAAAGGCAUACCAAGGCGACGAUCCGUAACUGGUCUGAGAGGAUGAACAGUCACACUGGAACUGAGACACGGUCCAGACUCCUACGGGAGGCAGCAGUGGGGAAUAUUGGACAAUGGGCGAAAGCCUGAUCCAGCCAUGCCGCGUGUGUGAAGAAGGUCUUCGGAUUGUAAAGCACUUUAAGUCGGGAGGCGUUACCAACAGAAUAAGCACCGGCUAACUUCGUGCCAGCAGCCGCGGUAAUUC
RNAcentral lists this ribosomal RNA (407 nucleotides) under uncultured bacterium. Its description in RNAcentral is "partial 16S ribosomal RNA". It matches the Rfam family "Bacterial small subunit ribosomal RNA", at positions 30 to 526 of the family's 1533-position model. The record is from RNAcentral.